GGGGAAUAUUGCACAAUGGGCGCAAGCCUGAUGCAGCCAUGCCGCGUGUAUGAAGAAGGCCUUCGGGUUGUAAAGUACUUUCAGCGAGGAGGAAGGUGUUGUGGUUAAUAACCGCAGCAAUUGACGUUACUCGCAGAAGAAGCACCGGCUAACUCCGUGCCAGCAGCCGCGGUAAUACGGAGGGUGCAAGCGUUAAUCGGAAUUACUGGGCGUAAAGCGCACGCAGGCGGUCUGUCAAGUCGGAUGUGAAAUCCCCGGGCUCAACCUGGGAACUGCAUCCGAAACUGGCAGGCUAGAGUCUUGUAGAGGGGGGUAGAAUUCCAGGUGUAGCGGUGAAAUGCGUAGAGAUCUGGAGGAAUACCGGUGGCGAAGGCGGCCCCCUGGACAAAGACUGACGCUCAGGUGCGAAAGCGUGGGGAGCAAAC
Molecule: ribosomal RNA, 425 nt
Filed under: uncultured bacterium
Lineage: Bacteria
Description: bacterial SSU rRNA
Rfam family: Bacterial small subunit ribosomal RNA
Source: RNAcentral